Molecule: long non-coding RNA, 912 nt
Filed under: Monodelphis domestica (gray short-tailed opossum)
Lineage: Eukaryota; Metazoa; Chordata; Mammalia; Didelphimorphia; Didelphidae
Description: lncRNA (ENSMODG00000035786.2)
Source: RNAcentral
AUAUUUUCAAGCUGCCAAGGGGGCAGUUCUAGGAACAAGAUCUCAUUUUCCUGAAAAUCUAGAAAUUGCCCUUCUGAUAUGUCUAUUGAAAUCACUCUAGGGCUACACUUUUGGAGACAAGAAAAGAAAGAUGCCACAUUUUAAAUCAAAACAUCCUGGGAGUGCCUAGAAGAGCUAGAAGAGUAUAAGGAAGCCUGUGGGCUGCUUUCAAAGAUGAGAAAGACAAUAGCAUAAAAGAGGCCAUUCAUCCUACUUGAGCUUUAAUCAAGAAACAGAAUGAAAGGAAAUAAAACCUGGGCGGUGGAACAACAAAAGACCAUCAUUACCAUUACCGAGGAAUCUCAAACACUAUGGCAAGAUGAAAACAACCUUCCUGCUAAAGCUGUUAACUGUUAUAGAAAAUCCCUACUUCCUAACAAUGAGCUGCCAGAACGACAAUUUCUGCCACAGUGAAAGAGAGAAUGCAUUUGGAAAAGAAAAUUUAAAAAAUCCGAGUCUAAAUCCAUUCAGACAAGUACAAGAUGCAAAUGAGAGAAAUAAGAAAUAUCAGAAAACAACAUUACUACAACAAUGUACAUGGAAAGAAAACAACAAAAAAUGAAAGUGAACAAUGUAUUUAAGACAACCGAGAUUGGGACUUGGAACUAUAGAUGGAUGGGUUGAAGCAUUUCUUUACCUGUCUGAAAAAGUCCAAGAAGGGGUAAAGAUUCUCCAGAAGGAAACCAUCCCUGGGUUGUGACCUCUUACAUUCACUCCAUAUUUACAAAGUGCUGGUCUUUACCAUAGAGGUAACCCAACAUAUAACAGGGACCCAACUGAUUAAAUAUCACCUGCACUUUGCCUGGCAUCCCCGUUAUCAGGAAAAGUAGAGAAAAUGAGUCAUACUGACAAUAAAAUUCUUGGGUUCAGACA